CUGGGUCAGAAGAGCAGCAGCUCGAGCUGGGCAGGCAGCCUAACCCUUCCCUCCCUGCUCCCCUAGGACAUAGCAUCGGCAGCCACAAGUAUGACAUACGCGUUGCAUGGAAAUCCAGGCUACUAAGGACCUGGUCCACUAUUGAACUCUUGGUUUCCAGAUGACUUCUUCUAAAAUUCAGCAGAAGAGAAAGUAAUAUGCAGUUGCAUUCAGUAGUCUCAUAUACAGUACAUCUUUUGUUAUCCAAACCCCCUGGAAAGGGCCUGCUGAAGAGCAGUCUGGAUAGCUGAAACCCUUGGGGGUGAACUGUUGACAAGUACCUCAGAAAUGCUACACCUGAUGACAAACCAUUUUGAGCUUCCUGCUUUCCUGUUGUGUGCUGUUUCCCAGAAGUGUAACAAGACGGCUCCAUGCCCUGAGCAGUGGUGGCACGGCCAGCUACCGCUAUUUUUUCAUCCCCCUCAAAGAUGAACCAGGACUAAUACCUCAGUCAUCCCCCUCAUUUAUGCUGCUGCUGUUUCCCCCCAUUUUGAAAUGCUUCUUUUGUAGUUUGUUCUAUGGGGAUGAUGGGUACUAUAUGCUUAACUAUUUUAAUGAUCUGCAUUUGUUGACUAAGAAAAAAGAGAAAUUCCCAAACUAAGUUACCCAGCAGGCUCCAGCUCCAAUAAAAUGAGAUCUUGUUCUCUUUCAGAUGUGAGAACAAGUUGUAGCCGGUUCCAGUCAACAAUAAUUGAACACAGGGGCAGGGCUUAUUUGAAGUUUAAUCCAUGAGAAUCAUAGUUACAGUGUUGGUUCCAGUAUGCUGGUAUUGUAUUUGUCCUCAAAGUGACCCUGCAGGGUUCAUAUCCCAUGUCUCACUCUCAAUGCAGGCAGCUCCCUGAGGAUGGACACUCCCUAAUCUACCUUCAGGAGCCUAGAAAGAUUCAAUAAUAGACAGAAGAUUUAUUUACAAGCUACUGUGAUGCUGCAGUGUUACAUUUCUGUGCUACAUGGUUCAAAAGGUCUCUCCGAACACCAGGUGAUAAGGCAGGAAUUAGAAUGAUGUAAUUUAAGUCAUUUAUUUUUAAAAAAUCUAACAGGAAGGAAACUGUUCUUUUGGGGCCAAAUUACUAGGUCUUUGAAGUAAAUUCCUUUAUUGGAACCACAUUUUCACCCUGCUACGACAACGUCCAUUGUUUGUAAAAGUCUCUUAGAAAGUAUUUUCAGAUUCAGGAUGUGCAACUGAGUUAAUAUUCUGGUUUAUAGGGGACCUGUUAUUUUUCAGCUGCAUGAAUACAUCACUAGACUUUUAGACUUCUUUUUCAGGAAGAGAAAUGCUUCAUUUUGUCAACAGAUUGUGAUAUAUUCACAUUUCUCCUUUGGUUUUCAUUCCUUGUAAGCAUAUACAAAGAAUUCACCCACUAGCAUCUUCACUGUCAGAUAACAGCUCUUCAGCAAUCUAAGGAUGGAAACAGAUGUUACCUUUUAUCACCUUUGUGCUGCCAUAAAAGCUUUUAUGGCAACACAAAGUGAAAGCAAAUAAACAUAUAUACCCUUUGCUGUGCCACAAAUUGGUCAUGGCAAAAGAUUGUAAUAACUUGUGUCACUUUAUUGCAGCAGAAGGGUAGUUGUUUUAUGUCAGGAGAGCAUGGGCAGCCAGGACCUUUCCUCACUCUCCAGCCAUCCCAGGUAGAUGCUCUUGGGGCCUGAGGGCCUUGGUCCUCCAUGCCAUAGGAAUUCCCUGCACCGCCUGGCUUCCCCGCUUCCAGAGACGCGCCCUUGGGAUCUCUGGACACUGGGAAAGUCGGGGUUCUCCACUUCCAGAGACAUGCUCCAACCAGGCAGUAAUUUUAUCACAGAAAUCUAAAUACAAAACCAUCACCUGGGAGGUGAUACAUGCCGUAGUAAAGAAUCUGGUGUUUUCUUUUCUUUUGUUGCGUAGCUGUUGCAUGGCUUAUACCUGCUGUAGUGAAUUUAAUAUCUGUGCUAAAUUUUGAUCAGUUAUUCUGGUGAAAACUCGGUCUUUUAUUGUUGAAUAUUUUACCAUUAAGAAGAGUGGACUUUCAUACUUAUGUAUUGUAGUUUGCCAAUAUUUCUGGUAGAGAAGUUGAUAUAUGAAAGUUCAGUUUCAGUGACAUCAUGUCUUCCCAUUCACAUAGCAGCACUACCAAAGCACUUUACAGCUAUAUUGGAGUCACCUGGCUUUUUCCAACUGUGGUAGAAUUAAGUAAAAUCCUCACACAUACUUAGUGGGUUGAGUUUGGUGAUAAUGCUGUGCAUCACCUGACAAAGGCAUCUAAUGGAAGAUAUUUCCAUAUGGUGACACUCAUUUUAUCUAAGGGUACAGGGAUUACCCACUCUAUCCAUCUCUUCUGUUACUACAUGGCAUCUUCAACAUUCAUCUAAGGAUACUAUAAGGCAAAAUAAAAAUGAUUGGAAGGGACUGGAGACAGUUUAGUGGAUAGAGCAUUAGACUGGAGCAAGAGAAACCUACAAAUCAGAAUUCCUAUGCCACCGGAGAUGAGCUGCUUAAUCAACUGUCUGUCAAAAGUGAAUAAUACAUCCUUGUCUCACAGGGGAGUUGCGAGGCUAAUUCAGUCAUGACCGUGAGGUGUUGAGAUAUUGCUAUAAAGAACACUACAUAGCUAAGACUAGUUUGUUUACAUGUGCUCAUCUGUGAACUAAUUAGAAUGUAUUGGAGCAGACUUGAUUAACCAAAUCUGUUCUGCGUUCUAAUUACAAUGCUCCAGGGUUGCCUCACUGUCAUGUGUAUUAAGCCCCCAUGAGUUUAAAAUGGCUGAGGGGAUGCUUUAUCUAAAUAGCAUCGAAUGAGCUUUAGAUAAAGCAUCCUGCAGCCAUUUAAAAAUGUGCAGGGGCUUAAUACACACGAUGGUGAGCAGUUUUAAUUAGAGUGGCUGUCCAGCAACUGGUUUAAUUAAAAUGCCUCCCCACUCCUAUCCCUGAGCAUGUGUGUAGACAGCCCCAGGAGAUCUCAAACAAGCCUAUACUGCACAUGCUCCCUGAUAUUACCUGAGCUCCAAGUUUAAAACUUUGUACGUUUACACUAUAUGGCAGUCACAGGGGUGUGGCUGCAGUGUAGACAUGCCCUAGGAUUCAAUAAUUCACACUAGAAUAUUGGCUCUUUACUUAUGGCAUCUAUGAAAAUCUCUCUCUUAUAGCAUAGAACAAAGCAGAAGAAUAACUCUAAUCAUAAAAGGAGAUAAAGUACUGAAGAAAAAUUCAAGAGAAUCAUGUCUUCAACCUAAGCAAAAACAUCUGAAAAAUACCUUGAACACAUUAAAAUAAAUGGAUUACUUGAGCAAACAGACUGCUGUGGUACUUGCUCCAUUCAGCUUCACUGCAAUGAAGCUGAUGGGUAGGAAAGAUAUAGAAAACAAUUAGCCAUAUGUAUUGUCUGCUCUGAAACUGGCUGUAUCUAACAGAAGUUAACAAGCAUAUUUUCAAACACAGGAGACUACUAACUAUGAACAUUUAUCUUUUUAAAAUAUUAUAUAAAAAUACUAUUACUUUCUGCAUGGAUAACUGUAGGUUAAAGAUGAAAGGCUGUGCUGCAGAGGGAGCAUAGUGUUCCAGCCCCUGAUGAGGAGGUAGGGUAGGCAGCUUUCAGUCUCGUAGCAAUAAUAGGAAAUAUUGGAAGGCCCUACAGUAAUGCAAAAGCCCCUGUCUUUGUCUUACAUCACUGGUGUGAAACUUUUAUCAUUUGUUUGAAUGAUGUAUUUGAAUUGCUUCCAUUGCUACUAUUUGCUGUCUCCACAGGAGUCAACAGCAUGGUUCCCAUGGUGCUGUGUACUUUCUUAAAAGACACUGCACACAUACAGUACCACAUGUUUCUGGGGUUGCUAUGGUAAUGAAAGUACUUGUCUUCUACAAAACUGUAGAGUGAAAAAUAGGGACAUAAAGCAUGAGGCUAAGCCACAGGAGUGUGAAUAAUGAGGGGGUCAGCUUAUUUCUGAAGAUGUAUUUGGCUUGGUUUUUCUCCUCUUUAAAGAUAUACAGGCAUUUGUGAACUCAUUUUUUCAUUAGAUUUUGCUUUUUUUUUUUUACUUUAAACAUACAUGGGACCAUCACCUGGUAUUGGGGAAAUAUGCCCAAAACCAAAACUGGGUAGUAUAGAGAGGGCUUUUGCUAGUUUUUGCGAAGUUUUGCACAUUCAGUUUUUGCUGAAAGUGAAAAAUGAAAUUAGUAACAGUAGUAGGCAAUCAUCAAUCCUUCUAUCAUGGUAUAUGUGUGAGAGGUCACCAAGACCUUUGAUACAUACACCUAGGCAGGAGUAUGGAAGAGUAAAGGUUGCCCAGAUCUUUCAUCCCCCUUUAGACCACUGAGACAGACUGAGUCUGGAUGUUUGAUGCCUCUGUGGCUGUAGUUAUAUGCACAUCUAGGAAUUAAACCCUGGUUUCCCACAUGGCAGACAAGGAAUCUAUCACUCAUCCACAACAGAAAGUAAAUCAGUAUUAUACCAGAGCCAAUAUAACAUGGUAUUUUCCAUUAUAUUAUAGUGUUCAGUUUAUUGAAUAUUUACCCCAUGUGACUACCUGCCACUGCCCCCUUCUCCAGACAUGAUGCAGGUCUCUCAGUCCUUGUAUAGAGUUCUUUUACUUCCAGUUUCCCCGUCUUACUCAACUGCUACCCCUGGAUGCCCUGUCAGUGGAGAAGAUGACUUGCUGCCUGGCUGUAGUGCUUCUCACUGCUGGGACCUCUCCUGCUACAAGGUUCUUAUAGUACUUCUUCCCAUCUGCAAUGUGUGCAGGGGCCAGUAAGGUUUUUGCAGCCAGGAGCUGCUUUAUCAGAGCUUAGCUUCUAACCCAGCUUGCACAACCACUUCUGGAGUAGGAGCCAUGGUUACUGCUUCUCCCUGCCUGGCAGUGCUGCUGCCACUCUUCCCUGUCACUUGGCUGCUGUACAGGUGAAACUCCCCUGUCAAAAUGCCACUGAUACCCCCUGGAUCUGAGCUGCAUUCAGCCUGCAGGCCUUAGAUUGCUGAGGGGAUCUAAUUGGGCAAUAGCAGGUGAAUUCUUUGUUUAUGCUUACAAGGAAUGAAAACCAAAGGUGAAAUAACUGUGGGCAACUUCUCCUGGCCAUAAGGAAAAAAAGAGAACAUGGAGUAAAUAUGAAUAUGAAUGAUUUACUAGGGCAUCUUCUGGGCUCUCCACCAAAGGAUACUAUAUCCACCUGUAACUUUAUUCAUAUAUCUACAUUGUAUUUAUUAGUCAAUCAUGGAAUCAUAUAUUUCUGUAUUAUACUAAGGAGUAUUAUAGUUACCCCUUACUCAAGAUUCCCAAUUCUUUUUAUGUUUUCAAAUAUGUCUCUGUUACAAGCUGAUCCAGAAGGGAUUCUCCUCUGGCUGGAAGGGUCUGUACCUUCUGGAACAUAAAUUGCUUUAGAGUUAAUGUUGGAAACCAUUAAAUAUUGUCUUUUCAUUGUAUUUAUCAAUCAA
Long non-coding RNA from Alligator mississippiensis (American alligator), 5434 nucleotides. RefSeq lists it as uncharacterized. The record is from RefSeq and is a predicted model, not a curated record. Lineage: Eukaryota; Metazoa; Chordata; Crocodylia; Alligatoridae. The transcript has 3 exons.